Molecule: ribosomal RNA, 396 nt
Filed under: uncultured bacterium
Lineage: Bacteria
Description: partial 16S ribosomal RNA
Rfam family: Bacterial small subunit ribosomal RNA
Source: RNAcentral
AUACGUAGGGAGCGAGCGUUGUCCGGAAUUACUGGGUGUAAAGGGUGCGUAGGCGGGAUGGCAAGUCAGAUGUGAAAUGCCGGGGCUCAACCCCGGAGCUGCAUUUGAAACUGUCGUUCUUGAGUGAGGUAGAGGUAAGCGGAAUUCCUAGUGUAGCGGUGAAAUGCGUAGAUAUUAGGAGGAACAUCGGUGGCGAAGGCGGCUUACUGGGCCUUUACUGGCGCUGAGGCACGAAAGCGUGGGGAGCAAACAGGAUUAGAUACCCUGGUAGUCCACGCUGUAAACGAUGAUGACUAGGUGUGGGGGGACUGAACCCUUCCGUGCCGCAGUAAACACAAUAAGUCAUCCACCUGGGGAGUACGGCCGCAAGGUUGAAACUCAAAUGAAUUGGCGGGG